UAGCGUCAAGUAGACCGCAGCCCUUAUCAGAUAUUAAAAUUAUUAGGAUGAAAUAAUUAAAUCGUAAACUUAUGUGAACUAACAUUACAUAUAGUUGUAUUGUCGGAAUAUAAUUUACUACUAUUUUAUUGUAUCAACUUUUUUCUGAUCAACUUAUAGCACGACUUACAAUCCGUAAGAAAUACAUCUGUAUGUCUAUAUGUAUUACAGUACGACUUACAAUCUGUAAGAAAUACAUCUGUAUUACUAAUGUAUGUAUGUGUAUGGAAAUAUAUGAAGGUAGCACUACAGGAACGAACAUUUUUUUUUCUAUAACAUAAAAAAUCGCAACGGUAGACAUUUCAAACUUUUUCUUCGUAAAAAUAGUUUAUUAAUAUUUACCUGCGUGGAUAUAAUUGUAUGUACCUUGAAAAAUUGACGUUUUUCAACAUUGAAAACCAAUGGCUACGUUCAACAGAAAAAAGCAGUUUUGCAACUGUUGUAAAAUUCUUUAAUAUAAUUGGUCUUGUCCUUAGUUCCUCAUUGGAUCUAAAUGUAUAAACCAAUCAUAUUCAAGAAUUUUACAAAAAUUGCAAAGCUGCUUUUGCUGCUCGAACGUAGCCAUUGUCAAGGAAACUAGAAAAGCUGGAAUAGCUGGAUACAUGUACAGGAAAUUAUAGAUUUAUUAAAUAUCAACUUCUCUUGUGUAAUCUUUUAUAGGAUAAAAGUGUCGUUCUAUAAAUAUAUAUAUAUAUAUAAAAUAUGUUAAUGUGAUACAUUAUUAGUAAUUUACUUCAUAUUCGUAUUUGGGCAUACAAAACGUGAUCAACGUUGGAUCAACUGGACUGGAGUAAAUUUUCCACUCGGCGGACGAUGGUGUAAUUAGUUAUUACAAAAUGGCCUUGCAUAUAUGUAUAUGUAUACAUAUAUAUAUAAAUAUAUCAGCCAGUAAACCGACAUGAUAUGUGACGAAGCAUGUGGCUCCGGUGCUUUCACCUUUUUUGCUCGAUAUUCAUAUAAGAUAGAAUGAGAUACACCGGUAUUAUAUAUAG
This is a long non-coding RNA of Mycetomoellerius zeteki, 1031 nucleotides long. RefSeq lists it as uncharacterized. The record is from RefSeq and is a predicted model, not a curated record. Lineage: Eukaryota; Metazoa; Arthropoda; Insecta; Hymenoptera; Formicidae. The transcript has 2 exons.